CAUGUCCUUUAGCAUAUAAUUUAAGGUCUAAUCUGCUCAAUGAUUAUUAAAUAGCCGCGGUAUUUUGACCGUGCGAAGGUAGCAUAAUAAUUAGUUUUUUUAUUGGAAGCUGGAAUGAAUGAUUGGACGAGGGAUUUACUGUCUCCUUGGAAAUUUUUUUUGAAUUUAACAUUUAAGUUAAAAGGCUUAAAUUUUUUUUAAAGACGAGAAGACCCUAUAGAGUUUUACAUAUUUCUUUUUAAUUAUUUUUUGGUAUUGGUUUAUUUUUAUUUUUGGUUUGUUUGGUUGGGGUGAUUAGAAGAUUUAAAUAACUCUUCUAUUUUUUAUUACUUAUUUGUAAAUUUUGUUUCUAUUGUUUUUAAGUUUAAAUUAAAUUACCUUAGGGAUAACAGCGUAAUUUCCUUUUAAAGUUCUUAUUGUGAGGGAAGUUUGCGACCUCGAUGUUGGAUUAAAAUAUAUGGUGGGCGCAGUAGCUCAAUCUUUUAAGUCUGUUCGACUUUUUGAAUUUUACAUGAUCUGAGU
This 522-nucleotide ribosomal RNA is filed under the name Austroselasia sp. B RK-2020. Its description in RNAcentral is "partial large subunit ribosomal RNA". It matches the Rfam family "Bacterial large subunit ribosomal RNA", at positions 1827 to 2610 of the family's 2925-position model. The record is from RNAcentral. Lineage: Eukaryota; Metazoa; Arthropoda; Insecta; Coleoptera; Elateridae.